RNAcentral lists this ribosomal RNA (183 nucleotides) under Bacillus amyloliquefaciens. RNAcentral's name for it is "partial 16S ribosomal RNA". It matches the Rfam family "Bacterial small subunit ribosomal RNA", at positions 1 to 180 of the family's 1533-position model. The record is from RNAcentral. Lineage: Bacteria; Bacillati; Bacillota; Bacilli; Caryophanales; Bacillaceae. RNAcentral also lists the same sequence under 4 other names.
UUAUCGGAGAGUUUGAUCCUGGCUCAGGACGAACGCUGGCGGCGUGCCUAAUACAUGCAAGUCGAGCGGACAGAUGGGAGCUUGCUCCCUGAUGUUAGCGGCGGACGGGUGAGUAACACGUGGGUAACCUGCCUGUAAGACUGGGAUAACUCCGGGAAACCGGGGCUAAUACCGGAUGGUUGU